This 550-nucleotide ribosomal RNA is filed under the name uncultured bacterium. RNAcentral describes it as "bacterial SSU rRNA". It matches the Rfam family "Bacterial small subunit ribosomal RNA", at positions 355 to 896 of the family's 1533-position model. The record is from RNAcentral.
UAGGGAAUCUUCGGCAAUGGACGGAAGUCUGACCGAGCAACGCCGCGUGAGUGAAGAAGGUUUUCGGAUCGUAAAGCUCUGUUGUAAGAGAAGAACGAGUGUGAGAGUGGAAAGUUCACACUGUGACGGUAUCUUACCAGAAAGGGACGGCUAACUACGUGCCAGCAGCCGCGGUAAUACGUAGGUCCCGAGCGUUGUCCGGAUUUAUUGGGCGUAAAGCGAGCGCAGGCGGUUAGAUAAGUCUGAAGUUAAAGGCUGUGGCUUAACCAUAGUACGCUUUGGAAACUGUUUAACUUGAGUGCAAGAGGGGAGAGUGGAAUUCCAUGUGUAGCGGUGAAAUGCGUAGAUAUAUGGAGGAACACCGGUGGCGAAAGCGGCUCUCCGGCUUGUAACUGACGCUGAGGCUCGAAAGCGUGGGGAGCAAACAGGAUUAGAUACCCUGGUAGUCCACGCCGUAAACGAUGAGUGCUAGGUGUUAGACCCUUUCCGGGGUUUAGUGCCGCAGCUAACGCAUUAAGCACUCCGCCUGGGGAGUACGACCGCAAGGUUG